UACGUAGGGGGCUAGCGUUGUCCGGAAUCAUUGGGCGUAAAGAGCGUGUAGGCGGCCCGGUAAGUCCGCUGUGAAAGUCGGGGGCUCAACCCUUGAAUGCCGGUGGAUACUGUCGGGCUAGAGUGCGGAAGAGGCGAGUGGAAUUCCUGGUGUAGCGGUGAAAUGCGCAGAUAUCAGGAGGAACACCAAUUGCGAAGGCAGCUCGCUGGGACGUAACUGACGCUGAGACGCGAAAGCGUGGGGAGCGAACAGG
RNAcentral lists this ribosomal RNA (253 nucleotides) under uncultured bacterium. Its description in RNAcentral is "partial 16S ribosomal RNA". It matches the Rfam family "Bacterial small subunit ribosomal RNA", at positions 524 to 776 of the family's 1533-position model. The record is from RNAcentral.